Molecule: ribosomal RNA, 768 nt
Filed under: uncultured bacterium
Lineage: Bacteria
Description: bacterial SSU rRNA
Rfam family: Bacterial small subunit ribosomal RNA
Source: RNAcentral
GGGGCAAUACCGCGUGUGGGAUGAAGCCCUUCGGGGUGUAAACCACUGUCAGGGUUCGGGAAAAAAAUGACCAGACCCAAAGGAAGGGCCGGCUAACUCUGUGCCAGCAGCCGCGGUAAUACAGAGGGCCCGAGCGUUAAUCGGAAUCACUGGGCUUAAAGCGUACGCAGGCGGACUUGUAGGCAUUUUGUGAAAUCCCUCGGCUCAACCGGGGAAUUGCAGAGUGAACCACAAGUCUUGAGGCGAGUAGAGGCGGUCGGAACGAUAGGUGGAGCGGUGAAAUGCGUAGAUAUCUAUCGGAACGCCAAAGGUGAAGACAGGCCGCUGGGCUCGUCCUGACGCUGAGGUACGAAAGCGUGGGUAGCGAACGGGAUUAGAUACCCCGGUAGUCCACGCCGUAAACGAUGCACACUAGGUCGGGGAGGUUUGACGCCCUCCUGGCCGAAGCAAAAGUGUUAAGUGUGCCGCCUGGGGAGUACGGUCGCAAGGCUAAAACUCAAAGGAAUUGACGGGGGCUCACACAAGCGGUGGAGCAUGUGGCUUAAUUCGAAGCAACGCGAAGAACCUUAUCCAGGGUUUGACAUCCCGGAUUAAACCGUUGAAAGACGGUCUACACCCUUUGGGUGGAACGGUGACAGGUGCUGCAUGGCUGUCGUCAGCUCGUGCUGUGAAGUGNCGGGUUAAGUCCCUUAACGAGCGCAACCCCUAUCGUUAGUUGCUAACAGGUAAUGCUGAGGACUCUAGCGAGACUGCCGGUGUCAAACCGGA